GAUGAACGCUGGCGGCGUGCCUAAUACAUGCAAGUCGAGCGAACGGACGAGAAGCUUGCUUCUCUGAUGUUAGCGGCGGACGGGUGAGUAACACGUGGAUAACCUACCUAUAAGACUGGGAUAACUUCGGGAAACCGGAGCUAAUACCGGAUAAUAUUUUGAACCGCAUGGUUCAAAAGUGAAAGACGGUCUUGCUGUCACUUAUAGAUGGAUCCGCGCUGCAUUAGCUAGUUGGUAAGGUAACGGCUUACCAAGGCAACGAUGCAUAGCCGACCUGAGAGGGUGAUCGGACACACUGGAACUGAGACACGGCCCCGACUCCUACGGGAGGAAGCAGUAGGGAAUCUUACGCAAUGGGCGAAAGCCUGACGGAGCAACGCCGCGUGAGUGAUGAAGGUCUUCGGAUCGUAAAACUCUGUUAUUAGGGAAGAACAUAUGUGUAAGUAACUGUGCACAUCUUGACGGUACCUAAUCAGAAAGCCACGGCUAACUACGUG
This 497-nucleotide ribosomal RNA is filed under the name uncultured bacterium. RNAcentral describes it as "partial 16S ribosomal RNA". It matches the Rfam family "Bacterial small subunit ribosomal RNA", at positions 28 to 507 of the family's 1533-position model. The record is from RNAcentral.